Molecule: ribosomal RNA, 430 nt
Filed under: uncultured cyanobacterium
Lineage: Bacteria; Bacillati; Cyanobacteriota
Description: bacterial SSU rRNA
Rfam family: Bacterial small subunit ribosomal RNA
Source: RNAcentral
GGGGAAUUUUCCGCAAUGGGCGAAAGCCUGACGGAGCAAUGCCGCGUGGAGGAGGAAGGCCUGAGGGUUGUAAACUCCUUUUCUCAGAAAAGAAGAUCUGACGGUAUCUGAGGAAUAAGCAUCGGCUAACUCCGUGCCAGCAGCCGCGGUAAGACGGAGGAUGCAAGCGUUAUCCGGAAUGAUUGGGCGUAAAGCGUCUGUAGGUGGUUUAUUAAGUCUGCUGUUAAAGCACAGGGCUCAANCCCUGUAUGGGCGGUAGAAUGCUGGUAGGCUUGAGUAUGGUAGGGGUAGAGGGAAUUCCCGAUGUAGUGGUGAAAUGCAUUGAUAUCGGGAAGAACACCAAAGGCGAAAGCAUCUCUGCUGGGCGCAAUACUGACAUCUGAGAGACGAAAGCUAGGGGAGCAAAUGGGAUUAGAUACCCCAUGUAGUC